Molecule: non-coding RNA, 871 nt
Organism: Arachis ipaensis
Lineage: Eukaryota; Viridiplantae; Streptophyta; Magnoliopsida; Fabales; Fabaceae
Source: RefSeq, a predicted model, not a curated record
AUCUCCCCUCCCCCCAGCCCCAAAAACAAAAUCAUUAGUCCUUGAAAUCUGUUAGAGGACAAAGCAAUUACUAAUAUAAUAAUUGCAAAAAGUAUUAUAUUUCCAAUUUGUAUUAAAGUUGAGGCACUAUGUUUGUUCUAUAUAAACUCUUGAAUGUCCUGUUUUUAUGCUGAAACUAACAUAGACAGAUAGCCUGAAAUAGAAAUAUAUGCAUAUCUGGGUCUUAUAUAAUCUUACUUGCUGUGAUUAAUUAACACUGGCCUGCUUGCAUGGACCAAUUUACAUUUAAUAGAUAUAUUGUCUUGUAGACAUAGUUCCACAUCAUCAUUUUAUAGGAUAGCAUUUUAAUUUUCUAACAACACUAAGUCUUCAUUGUUAUUAGCACCACUGUUUCUAAGUAUAUUUCCCAUUUCAAUACGUGGUUAGUGAUUCAUUGUUAUUUCUCAAAAACAGAUUUUGGAUGAAUACAACCGUCUUCUAACAUCUCAGUUGGAAACUCAAAGACAAUAUUCUGAAUCUUUGCUGGCAGAGGCAAAAAGCAAAGUGGACAGUUCUGUCUCUGAAGCAGUGGAGAAAGCUGUAACUUCUGGAUUGCAGGACACCGAAGAUAAAUUGGAAAAGUGUAUAGAAGAGAGAAAUGGUGUUGCUGAGGUGAGGAAGGAAGUUUGAGGGCUAAAGGAAGGAGGAACAGCAAGGGUUUAAGUUGUAUUGUUCCUGUAUUUUUCUUUAGUUUUUCGUUUUGGAAUUUGAACUCCAGAUUUAUUUUGUAUGUGAGUAUUAGUUUUCUAAUGUAUAAAAUAAUUAUAGCAAAAAUUAUAUGUCACUAAUAACUGCUUGAUUUGUCUUGUAAUAAAAAUUGUAUAUUAUAUUU